This 305-nucleotide ribosomal RNA is filed under the name uncultured bacterium. RNAcentral describes it as "bacterial SSU rRNA". It matches the Rfam family "Bacterial small subunit ribosomal RNA", at positions 332 to 655 of the family's 1533-position model. The record is from RNAcentral.
CGUGCCCUACGGGAGGCAGCAGUGGGGAAUAUUGCACAAUGGGGGAAACCCUGAUGCAGCAACGCCGCGUGAGUGAAGAAGUAUUUCGGUAUGUAAAGCUCUAUCAGCAGGGAAGAAGAUGACGGUACCUGACCAAGAAGCCCCGGCUAACUACGUGCCAGCAGCCGCGGUAAUACGUAGGGGGCAAGCGUUAUCCGGAUUUACUGGGUGUAAAGGGAGCGCAGACGGCAGUGCAAGUCUGGAGUGAAAGCCCGGGGCCCAACCCCGGAACUGCUCUGGAACCUGUGCGGCUACAGUACUGGCGG